AUGAAGGUCUUCUGAUUGUAAAGUUCUUUUAUUUAGGAAAAAAAGCUUGAUAGGAAAUGAUUAAGCCUUGAUUGUACUAAAUGAAUAAGUGACAGCUAACUAUGUGCCAGCAGCUGCGGUAAAACAUAGGUCACGAGCAUUAUCCGGAUUUAUUGGGCGUAAAGGAAGCGUAGGCGGACAAAUUGAUCUAUUGUUAAAGGCACUUGCUCAACGAGUUGUUUGUGAUAGAUAUCGUUUGUCUAGAAUUAGUUAGGAGAUACUGGAAUUCAAUGUGUAGCGGUGGAAUGCGUAGAUAUAUUGAGGAACACCAGAGGCUAAGGCGAGUAUCUAGGACAUAAUUGACGCUGAGGCUUGAAAGCGUGGGGAGCAAAUGGGAUUAGAUACCCCAGUAGUCCACGCCGUAAACGAUGGGUAUUAGGUAUUUGGUCUAGGACUGAGUGCUGUAGCUAACGCGUUAAAUACCCCGCCUGGGUAG
This 475-nucleotide ribosomal RNA is filed under the name Candidatus Mycoplasma haematominutum. RNAcentral's name for it is "bacterial SSU rRNA". It matches the Rfam family "Bacterial small subunit ribosomal RNA", at positions 408 to 880 of the family's 1533-position model. The record is from RNAcentral. Lineage: Bacteria; Bacillati; Mycoplasmatota; Mollicutes; Mycoplasmatales; Mycoplasmataceae.